RNAcentral lists this unclassified non-coding RNA (391 nucleotides) under soil metagenome. RNAcentral describes it as "partial contains 5.8S ribosomal RNA, internal transcribed spacer 2, and large subunit ribosomal RNA". The stretch from base 1 to 122 matches the Rfam family "5.8S ribosomal RNA", at positions 35 to 154 of the family's 154-position model. The record is from RNAcentral.
GAUGAAGAACGUAGCGAAAUGCGAUACUUGGUGUGAAUUGCAGAAUCCCGUGAACCAUCGAGUCUUUGAACGCAAGUUGCGCCCGAAGCCAUUAGGCCGAGGGCACGCCUGCCUGGGCGUCACACGUCGUUGCCCCCCCAUCUACUCCUUCGGGAUUGCGGGGGGCGGAUGAUGGCCUCCCGUGCGCCUCGUCGCGCGGUUGGCAUAAAUGCCAAGUCCUCGGCGACGCACGCCACGACAAUCGGUGGUUGCGAAACCUCGGUUGCCCGUCGUGUGCGGUCGUCGCGCAUCGAGGGCUCGAAAAAAUUGCCGGGCUCCGGCUCGGCUUUCAACGCGACCCCAGGUCAGGCGGGGUUACCCGCUGAAUCUAAGCAUAUCAAUAAGCGGAGGA